RNAcentral lists this ribosomal RNA (613 nucleotides) under uncultured bacterium. RNAcentral describes it as "bacterial SSU rRNA". It matches the Rfam family "Bacterial small subunit ribosomal RNA", at positions 338 to 954 of the family's 1533-position model. The record is from RNAcentral.
CCUACGGGAGGCAGCAGUAGGGAAUAUUGGACAAUGGGUGCGAGCCUGAUCCAGCCAUGCCGCGUGCAGGAAGAAGGCCUUCUGGGUUGUAAACUGCUUUUGCCGGGGGAUAAAAGACCCAUGCGUGGGGAAUUGAAGGUACCCGGUGAAUAAGCCACGGCUAACUACGUGCCAGCAGCCGCGGUAAUACGUAGGUGGCGAGCGUUGUCCGGAUUUAUUGGGUUUAAAGGGUGCGUAGGCGGCCCCGUAAGUCAGUGGUGAAAUACGGCAGCUCAACUGUCGAGGUGCCAUUGAUACUGCGGGGCUUGAGUACAGUCGAGGUAGGCGGAAUUGACGGUGUAGCGGUGAAAUGCUUAGAUAUCGUCAAGAACACCGAUAGCGAAGGCAGCUUGCUAGGCUGUAACUGACGCUGAGGCACGAAAGUGCGGGGAUCAAACAGGAUUAGAUACCCUGGUAGUCCGCACAGUAAACGAUGGUCACUCGGUGUUGGCGGUACACGGCCAGCGCCUUAGCGAAAGCGUUAAGUGACCCACCUGGGGAGUACGCCCGCAAGGGUGAAACUCAAAUGAAAUUGACGGCUGAGACGNGCGACGGACGACGACGAGGGAGGAGG